AGCUUUAGGCUAAAUAAUAGGUUUAACCUGCCCAAUGUAUAUUAGGAUGAAUGGCCGCGGUACUUUGACCGUGCUAAGGUAGCAUAAUCAAUUGGCUUUUAAAUGGGGUCAGGAAUGAAUGGAUUUAACGUAACUUAACUGUCUCUUAACUAAUUAAUCGAAAUUACUGUGCAGAUGAAAAAGUCUGUUUUAAGAAAAAAGACGAGAAGACCCUUAGAGUUUUACCUAAUAUAUAAUAUGAAAGUAUUUAUAGCGGUUUGGUUGGGGCAAUCUAGGAGCAAAAGAGGACAAGUAGUUAAUUUUAACUACUUAUAAAUCUCCUAAAUUAUAUUAGACGGUUGUUUAAAGAUUAAACAAACUACCUUAGGGAUAACAGCAUUAUGUAAAAAAUAAGUUUGUGACCUCGAUGUUGGACUGGGAAACUUAAAGGCUAGUCGUUUUUUAGGAAGGUUCUGUUCGAACUAAUAUUCCC
RNAcentral lists this ribosomal RNA (472 nucleotides) under Verconia varians. RNAcentral's name for it is "Noumea varians partial 16S ribosomal RNA". It matches the Rfam family "Bacterial large subunit ribosomal RNA", at positions 1829 to 2597 of the family's 2925-position model. Lineage: Eukaryota; Metazoa; Mollusca; Gastropoda; Nudibranchia; Chromodorididae. The record is from RNAcentral.